GUGGGUAAUAAUAAAACGACGCGAGUGAAGGCGUUGCUAAGUUGUGUCGUUGGUGCGUGGCAUAACGGCAAUGCGUUUGUUGUGAAGACAAAGUAAAAGAGAAGAAACAAAGAUGAUACUGCAGUUCUUCGUGCUUUCACAGAGAGGCGAUAACAUCGUCUACCGCGACUCUCAAAAGGGAAGCGCUGAGACAUUUUUCCGAAAAGUCAAGUUCUGGAAAGAGAAUGCUGAGGGAGAUGCUCCACCUGUUUUUAAUAUAGAUGGUGUGAACUACUUCCACGUGAAGGCUGCUGGAUUGCUAUUUGUUGCUACUACUAGAGUCAAUGUCUCCCCUUCUCUUGUUUUGGAACUCUUACAAAGAAUUGCACGUGUCAUCAAAGAUUACCUUGGUGUUCUCAAUGAAGAUUCCUUUAGAAAGAACUUCGUGCUCGUUUAUGAAUUGCUGGAUGAAGUCAUAGAUUUUGGUUAUGUGCAAACAACAUCCACUGAGGUUUUGAAGUCAUAUGUUUUCAAUGAGCCAAUUGUGAUUGAUGCUGCACGGAUGCCUCCACUUGGCCCUGCUUCCAUUUUUAUGCAAGGGACCAAACGAAUGCCAGGUACAGCUAUUACAAAGUCUGUGGUUACUAAUGAACCUGGUGGAAGGAAGAGGGAUGAGAUCUUUGUUGAUGUAAUUGAGAAAAUAAGUGUUACAUUCAACUCUAGUGGAUAUAUACUUACUAGUGAGAUAGAUGGAACCAUUCAAAUGAAGAGUUAUCUUACUGGUAACCCGGAGAUUCGACUUGCUCUCAAUGAGGACCUGAGUAUAGGAACAAGUGAUUAUAGAGGUUCAGGUGCUGUCAUUUUAGAUGAUUGUAACUUCCAUGAGUCUGUACACCUUGAUAGUUUUGAUGUUGAUAGAACUUUGUCAUUGGUACAACCAGAAGGUGAAUUUCCAGUCAUGAAUUAUCGUAUGACUCAACCAUUUAAGCCACCCUUUCGUAUUAAUGCAUUGAUUGAAGAAACAGGAUCCCUAAAUGCUGAAGUGACCAUUAAAGUGCGAGCUGAAUUCAACUCAAGUAUCAAUGCUAACACUGUUCUUGUAGAGAUGCCUCUGCCAUCAUUUACAGCUCGUGUUAAUUUUGAGUUAGAACCUGGAGCAGUUGGACACACCACUGAUUUGAAGGAAGCAAAUAAAAGACUGGAAUGGGGCCUGAAAAAGGUUGGUGGUGGAUCUGAACAUACUUUACGAGCAAAGCUAACGUUUUCACGGAGUUACAUGGAAAUAUCAUGAAAGAAGCAGGGCCUGUUAGCAUGGCUUUCACCAUACCUAUGUACAAUGCUUCAAGGCUUCAGGUUAAGUAUUUGCAAAUAGCAAAGAAAUCAACUGCGCAUAAUCCUUAUCGCUGGGUUAGAUAUGUAACCCAAGCAAACUCAUACGUAGCCCGGUUGUAAUUGGAAUCUCUAAGUCCAAAUUCCAAGUUAAAUUUGGGGGGAUGGCAGCAUGUCAGGUGAAAAGAUGGCAGGUUCUCUGCUUCUACAAGUGAAGAUGAUUUUCUCUAGAUAAUGAAUGGCUAAGUGGAACUCGAGUAAAGUGAAGAUGUACAAGACAAAUCUUAAAACUGUGUAAUGUGGAGGGCAGACAUCUAAAUCUUAAAAUUAUUAAAGACUUUAUGUAAUAUAAAUAGUCUUAUGAUGCGUUUAGCCUCCUUAGUAAUGUGUUGGACUAGAGAUAUUCGUUUGAAUGUAUAUGCCAUUGAACCUGAGCUGGUUUUGACGAGAAUUCGAUUCCCUUGGCCCCGUAUGUCUCGAAACUUUAGAGGCAAAAGUCAAAAAGGAAAAAGCCGGAUGAAAUUGGAAAGUCGUUUGCAGCGUAUAAGGUACACAGAAAAGUUCAGUACCAAACAGAAAUAGGUAUUGGCCUUUAGAUAUAAUAUGUAUUUUAUUGAACGGUAGGGUUGUUUGGAAAAAAUUGAGACUUCGGUUAAUUUGUCA
Glycine soja is the source of this 1971-nucleotide RNA transcript. It is a transcript of the gene named AP-4 complex subunit mu-like, with no coding region annotated. The record is from RefSeq and is a predicted model, not a curated record. The transcript is spliced from 14 exons. NCBI's taxonomy places the organism in Eukaryota, Viridiplantae, Streptophyta, Magnoliopsida, Fabales, Fabaceae.